CCUACGGGAGGCAGCAGUGAGGAAUAUUGGUCAAUGGGCGAGAGCCUGAACCAGCCAAGUCGCGUGAGGGAUGACGGCCCUACGGGUUGUAAACCCCUUUUGCCGGGGAGCAAAGGGCGCCACGUGUGGCGCCACUGAGAGUACCCGGAGACAAAGCCUCGGCAAAAUCCGUGCCAGCAGCCGCAGUCAUACGGAGGAUGCGAGCGUUAUCCGGAUGUGUUGGGGUUUAAGGGUGCGUAGGCGGAUCGUACAGACAGUGGUCAAAUGGAGGGGCUCAAACCCUUCCCGGCAUUGAAACUGGCGAUCUUGAGUGGAAGAGAAGUAAGCGGAAUGCGUGGUGUAGCGGUGAAAUGCAUAGAUAUCACGCAGAACCCCGAUGGCGAAGGCAGCAAGCCGGCUUCCGACUGACGCUGAAGCACGAAAGCGUGGGGAUCGAACAGGAUUAGAUACCCUGGUAGUC
This 460-nucleotide ribosomal RNA is filed under the name uncultured bacterium. Its description in RNAcentral is "partial 16S ribosomal RNA". It matches the Rfam family "Bacterial small subunit ribosomal RNA", at positions 338 to 795 of the family's 1533-position model. The record is from RNAcentral.